ACCCUGCAACGGGCAUCGCCUUGACGCGGCGCAUGGGCUUUCCCGGCCAUUUGGCAUUUAUGUUGUUGCAUAAUGCCAAAUGAGCCAAGAAUGCC
RNAcentral lists this non-coding RNA (95 nucleotides) under unclassified sequences. The record is from RNAcentral.